This 320-nucleotide ribosomal RNA is filed under the name uncultured eukaryote. RNAcentral describes it as "partial 18S ribosomal RNA". It matches the Rfam family "Eukaryotic small subunit ribosomal RNA", at positions 1470 to 1796 of the family's 1831-position model. The record is from RNAcentral.
CCCUUAGAUGUUCUGGGCUGCACGCGCGCUACAAUGGCGUUUUCAAAAAGAUUGCUAAUCCGAAAGGACCAGCGGAUCUUCGAAGUGGCGUCGUGAUCGGGACAGUUGAUUGCAAUUAUUCGACUCGAACGAGGAAUUCCUUGUAAUCGUGCGUCAUCAGCGCGCGCUGAAUACGUCCCUGUUCUUUGUACACACCGCCCGUCGCUCCUACCGAUCGAGCGAUCCAAUGAAUGUUUCGGAGCGGAACUGAGAUGCUAAUGCGUCUCUUUUACGCGAAUUUGUGUGAAUUUGAUCGCUUAGAGGAAGGAGAAGUCGUAACA